GCCUACGGGGGGCAGUAGUCGGGAAUAUUGCGCAAUGGAGGAAACUCUGACGCAGUGACGCCGCGUAUAGGAAGAAGGUUUUCGGAUUGUAAACUAUUGUCCACAGGGAAGAUAAAAGACUGUACCUGUGAAGAAAGCUCCGGCUAACUACGUGCCAGCAGCCGCGGUAAUACGUAGGGGGCAAGCGUUAUCCGGAUUUACUGGGUGUAAAGGGAGCGUAGACGGCUGUGCAAGUCUGAAGUGAAAGCCCGUGGCUCAACCGCGGAACUGCUUUGGAAACUGUAUGGCUUGAGUACUGGAGAGGC
This 305-nucleotide ribosomal RNA is filed under the name uncultured bacterium. RNAcentral describes it as "bacterial SSU rRNA". It matches the Rfam family "Bacterial small subunit ribosomal RNA", at positions 337 to 658 of the family's 1533-position model. The record is from RNAcentral.